RNAcentral lists this non-coding RNA (32 nucleotides) under Homo sapiens (human). The record is from RNAcentral. Lineage: Eukaryota; Metazoa; Chordata; Mammalia; Primates; Hominidae. RNAcentral also lists the same sequence under 1 other name.
GCCUGGGUAGCUCAGUCGGUAGAGCAUCAGAC